CGGAGUGCUUAAUGCGUUAGCUGCAUGCACUAAGGGGCGGAAACCCCCUAACACUUAGCACUUCAUCGUUUACGGCGUGGACUACCAGGGUAUCUAAUCCUGUUUGAUCCCCACGCUUUCGCACAUCAGCGUCAGUUACAGACCAGAAAGUCGCCUUCGCCACUGGUGUUCCUCCAUAUCUCUGCGCAUUUCACCGCUACACAUGGAAUUCCACUUUCCUCUUCUGCACUCAAGUUUUCCAGUUUCCAAUGACCCUCCACGGUUGAGCCGUGGGCUUUCACAUCAGACUUAAAAAACCGCCUACGCGCGCUUUACGCCCAAUAAUUCCGGAUAACGCUUGCCACCUACGUAUUACCGCGGCUGCUGGCACGUAGUUAGCCGUGGCUUUCUAGAUCAGGUACCGUCAAGAUGUGCACAGUUACUUACACAUUUGUUCUUCCCUGAAUAACAGAGUUUUACGAUCCGAAGACCUUCAUCACUCACGCGGCGUUGCUCCGUCAGGCUUUCGCCCAUUGCGGAAGAUUCCCUACUGCUGCCUCCCGUAGGAGUCUGGACCGUGUCUCAGUUCCAGUGUGGCCGAUCACCCUCUCAGGUCGGCUACGUAUCGUUGCCUGGGUAAGCCGUUACCCUAACCAACUAGCCUAAUACGGGCGCGGAAUCCCAUCUUAUAAAGUGACCAGCAAAAGCCCGCCCUUUCCACUUAUUAGAACCCAUGGCGGGGUUCAANAUUGUUUAUUUCCGGUUAUUAAGCUCCCGGGUUUCCCCGGAAGUUUAUCCCAGGCUCUUAAUAGGGUAGGGGUAAUCCACGUUGUUUACCUCACCCCGGUCCGCGCGCA
RNAcentral lists this ribosomal RNA (836 nucleotides) under Staphylococcus sp. 3Sf114. RNAcentral describes it as "partial 16S ribosomal RNA". The record is from RNAcentral. Lineage: Bacteria; Bacillati; Bacillota; Bacilli; Caryophanales; Staphylococcaceae.